CUGGAUGGUGGAGGUGGUGACCGUGGUGUCGAGCGUGACGGUGUCUGCCUCGGUCUGCGCUUCGUAGGUGUAGUCCUUCUUGGCAACGCUGGUGCUGGCGAGCGUGGUCACCUUGCCUUUAUUGGACUUGAGGAACUGCAUGGAGUAGUAGUCCGGCACGGCGUGGUAGAGCAGGAUGGCCGUCUUGGCCUUGGCCGUCAGGUUCUUGAACUUUGGCAUGAAGGCGGCCACGGCGGCGUCGACAGGGCAGAAGAGCGUGAGCGCAGUGUCCUUGGUUCCGUUGAUGGUAUCGAAGGCUUUGGCAUCGGCAGCUAGGAGGCCGGCGAAGCUCUUGCA
Molecule: long non-coding RNA, 336 nt
Filed under: Setaria italica (foxtail millet)
Lineage: Eukaryota; Viridiplantae; Streptophyta; Magnoliopsida; Poales; Poaceae
Description: long non-coding RNA (SITA_LNC004521)
Source: RNAcentral